CCUACGGGUGGCAGCAGUGAGGAAUAUUGGUCAAUGGGCGAGAGCCUGAACCAGCCAAGUCGCGUGAGGGAGUACUGCCCUAUGGGUUGUAAACCUCUUUUGUCGGGGAGCAAAAGCCGGACGUGUCCGGCUGUGAGAGUACCCGAAGAAAAAGCAUCGGCUAACUCCGUUCCCGCAGCCGCCGGAAAACGUGAGGAGCAAGCUUUGUUCGGAAUGUCUGGGCGUAAAGGGGGUGUACGCGGGGUAGCAAGUUAGAAGUGAAAUACCUAGAGCUUAACUCAGGUGCUGCUUUUAAAACUGCUAUACUUGAGUGCAGUAGAGGAAUGUGGAAUGCCUGGUGUAGCGGUGGAAUGCGUAGAUAUUAAGAGGAACAUCAGUUGCGAAGGCGACUUUCUGGACUGUAACUGACGCUGAGGCACGAAAGUGUGGGGAGCAAACAGGAUUAGAUACCCGUGUAGUC
This 460-nucleotide ribosomal RNA is filed under the name uncultured bacterium. Its description in RNAcentral is "partial 16S ribosomal RNA". It matches the Rfam family "Bacterial small subunit ribosomal RNA", at positions 338 to 795 of the family's 1533-position model. The record is from RNAcentral.